GGGAGCGUGCCGGAAUUGGUAGACGGACUCGACUCAAAAUCGAGCGCCUUCGGGCAUGUGGGUUCGAGUCCCACCGCUCCCAUCA
This 85-nucleotide transfer RNA is filed under the name Candidatus Synechococcus spongiarum SP3. RNAcentral describes it as "tRNA-Leu". It matches the Rfam family "tRNA". From Rfam's summary of the family: Transfer RNA (tRNA) molecules are approximately 80 nucleotides in length. RNAcentral also lists the same sequence under 4 other names. The record is from RNAcentral. Lineage: Bacteria; Bacillati; Cyanobacteriota; Cyanophyceae; Synechococcales; Synechococcaceae.